This 536-nucleotide ribosomal RNA is filed under the name Nakaseomyces glabratus. Its description in RNAcentral is "eukaryotic LSU rRNA". It matches the Rfam family "Eukaryotic large subunit ribosomal RNA", at positions 87 to 628 of the family's 3401-position model. The record is from RNAcentral. Lineage: Eukaryota; Fungi; Ascomycota; Saccharomycetes; Saccharomycetales; Saccharomycetaceae.
CGGCGAGUGAAGCGGCAAAAGCUCAAAUUUGAAAUCUGGUACCUUUGGUGCCCGAGUUGUAAUUUGGAGAGUACCACUUUGGGACUGUACUUUGCCUAUGUUCCUUGGAACAGGACGUCAUGGAGGGUGAGAAUCCCGUGUGGCGAGGGUGUCAGUUCUUUGUAAAGGGUGCUCGAAGAGUCGAGUUGUUUGGGAAUGCAGCUCUAAGUGGGUGGUAAAUUCCAUCUAAAGCUAAAUACAGGCGAGAGACCGAUAGCGAACAAGUACAGUGAUGGAAAGAUGAAAAGAACUUUGAAAAGAGAGUGAAAAAGUACGUGAAAUUGUUGAAAGGGAAGGGCAUUUGAUCAGACAUGGUGUUUUGCGCCCCUUGCCUCUCGUGGGCUUGGGACUCUCGCAGCUCACUGGGCCAGCAUCGGUUUUGGCGGCCGGAAAAAACCUAGGGAAUGUGGCUCUGCGCCUCGGUGUAGAGUGUUAUAGCCCUGGGGAAUACGGCCAGCCGGGACCGAGGACUGCGAUACUUGUUAUCUAGGAUGCUG